UGAGGAAUAUUGGUCAAUGGGCGAGAGCCUGAACCAGCCAAGCCGCGUGAAGGAAGAAGGUGCAGAGCAUCGUAAACUUCUUUUGUCGGGGAACAAAGGCAGAUACGAGUAUUUGGAAGAGUGUACCCGAAGAAAAAGCAUCGGCUAACUCCGUGCCAGCAGCCGCGGUAAUACGGAGGAUGCGAGCGUUAUCCGGAUUUAUUGGGUUUAAAGGGUGCGUAGGCGGAUGUUCAAGUCAGCGGUGAAAUCCCGGAGCUCAACUCCGGCGAGCCGUUGAAACUGAAUGUCUGGAGAGAGUGAGAGGUCAGCGGAAUGCGCGGUGUAGCGGUGAAAUGCAUAGAUAUCGCGCAGAACUCCGAUUGCGAAGGCAGCUGACCGGCACUUAUCUGACGCUGAGGCACGAAAGCGUGGGUAUCGAACAGG
Molecule: ribosomal RNA, 423 nt
Filed under: uncultured bacterium
Lineage: Bacteria
Description: bacterial SSU rRNA
Rfam family: Bacterial small subunit ribosomal RNA
Source: RNAcentral